GUCCUUUUGUUUAAAAUUUAAGGUCUAACCUGCCCACUGAUUAUUUAAAUGGCCGCGGUAUUUUGACCGUGCUAAGGUAGCAUAAUCAUUAGUUUUUUAAUUGAAAGCUGGAAUGAAGGGUUGAAUGAAAAAAUAACUGUCUCUUAUAAAUUUUAUUAGAAUUUUAUUUUUAAGUUAAAAAGCUUAAAUGAGUUUAAAAGACGAGAAGACCCUAUAGAGUUUAAUAUAAUUUAUAUUUUUUAAAAAAUAGUAUUUAAUUUUUAAAAUAUUUGUUGUAUUUAGUUGGGGGGAUUGAAAAAUUUAAUAAACUUUUUUUUUAUAUUUAUAUAAAUUAAUAGAUAUUUGAUCCAAAAUUUUUGAUUAUAAGA
RNAcentral lists this ribosomal RNA (368 nucleotides) under Psylliodes hispanus. RNAcentral describes it as "partial 16S large subunit ribosomal RNA". The record is from RNAcentral. Lineage: Eukaryota; Metazoa; Arthropoda; Insecta; Coleoptera; Chrysomelidae.